Long non-coding RNA from Sinocyclocheilus grahami, 363 nucleotides. RefSeq lists it as uncharacterized. The record is from RefSeq and is a predicted model, not a curated record. The transcript has 3 exons. Lineage: Eukaryota; Metazoa; Chordata; Actinopteri; Cypriniformes; Cyprinidae.
CAGGAGUAUGUGCUGCUGCAGUUAUUCUGCUCGUGGCUGCUGCUGCUGCUGUCAUUUACUACCGUAAGCAAAGGAAAAGCAGCACGGCGAAGCAAAAUAAUAAGACUGAUCUUAUGAAAUACUCAUUCGUUAGUCCGACCGAGGCUGCUGCUAAUGGAGCGUCCCAGGAAAAGACUGACACUGAAACACCACUGUAACAUUAUUUAUUAUUUUAUUUGUAGUGAAAGCCAGUUAAGCAGUAAACCAGCAAUAAACUAAGAAACAAAACAACACGUUACCAGCAGCAGACCAGCAAGUGCUAGAAGUUUUUCAGUAUUAAGUAGAGAUGUGCAUCUCGUAACUGAGGCCGAUGCGAUACGCAUC